AAAACUGCUCCUGUCCAGGUCUGGAACUGGCCAGAGAAAAGCAGCUGCUGGGAAAGAGGAGCCAGAUGUUACAUCUGAGAGGUCCCGCAAGAACCCCUUCCAACCCAAGACUGAACCAACUGGGAGGUGGAGGGCUGCAAGUAGAAGGUUGGGCCCAGAUUAAAGGCCCACCACAGACGAUCCAGAACAGAAGUGGCUCUUCCUACUUCAAAUGAUUUGAGUAAGAAAAAAAAAAUCUCUUGCCAAGUGGUGGUGGCUCAUGCCUCUAAUUCCAGAACUCGGGAGGCAGAAGCAGGUGAAUCUCUGAGUUUGAGACUAGUCUGGUUUACAGAGUAAGCUCCAGGUCAGCCGAGGCUGCACAGAGAAAUCCUGUCUCUAAAAAUAAACAAAUAAACCAACCAACAAAUGAAAGAAAGAAGGAAGAAAGAAAGAAAGAUUCCUCAAAACAAAAUAAAAACCUGGGCAGUGGUGGUGCACACCUUUAAUCCCAGCAUUAAAGGUGGAAGGAUGCAGAGGAAGGUGGAUCUUUGAGUUUGAGCCCAGCCUGGUCUACAUAGCAAUUUCCUGGACAGCCGGGUCUACACAGAGAAUCCUUAUCUCAUAAAACCAAAAAAGACUGUUUUCCCUGGUAUGCCACUGAAGUUCCCAUUGUCAUCAUAGGCCACCACUCCACCUGGUGUUACCGAUGUUGUAAGAACAAGUGUAUUAAAGUCUUCUUGAGACAUCCCUGA
Alexandromys fortis (reed vole) is the source of this 731-nucleotide long non-coding RNA. RefSeq lists it as uncharacterized. The record is from RefSeq and is a predicted model, not a curated record. The transcript is spliced from 2 exons. Lineage: Eukaryota; Metazoa; Chordata; Mammalia; Rodentia; Cricetidae.